This 57-nucleotide transfer RNA is filed under the name Typosyllis antoni. RNAcentral's name for it is "tRNA-Arg". The record is from RNAcentral. Lineage: Eukaryota; Metazoa; Annelida; Polychaeta; Phyllodocida; Syllidae.
ACGAUAAAAAAGAAUAGUUUCGACCUAUUUAUUUGAAGAUGAUAUCUUCUUAUCGAA